GACGAACGCUGGCGGCGUGCUUAACACAUGCAAGUCGAACGAUGAAGAAAAGACUCGAAGCUUCGGCAGAAAUUCAUUUCGGAUUAGUGGCAGACGGGUGAGUAACGCGUGAGCAACCUACCUCUUACAAAGGGAUAGCCUCGGGAAACCGGGAUUAAUACCAUAUAACAUUGUGACGAAGCAUUUCGAUGCAAUCAAAGCUACGGCGGUAAGAGAUGGGCUCGCGUCCCAUUAACCGGAUGGUGAGGUAACGGCUCACCAUAGUGACGAUGGGUAACCGGACUGAGAGGGUGAACGGUCACACUGGAACUGAGACACGGUCCAGACUCCUACGGGAGGCAGCAGUGGGGAAUAUUGCACAAUGGAGGGAACUCUGAUGCAGCGACGCCGCGUGAGUGAUGAAGGAAUUCGUUUCGUAAAACUCUGUUCUAUGGGAAGAAAAGGACUGUACCAUAGGAGAAAGCUCCGGCUAAAUACGUG
This 480-nucleotide ribosomal RNA is filed under the name uncultured bacterium. RNAcentral describes it as "partial 16S ribosomal RNA". It matches the Rfam family "Bacterial small subunit ribosomal RNA", at positions 28 to 507 of the family's 1533-position model. The record is from RNAcentral.